This is a long non-coding RNA of Quercus robur (English oak), 3784 nucleotides long. RefSeq lists it as uncharacterized. The transcript is spliced from 11 exons. NCBI's taxonomy places the organism in Eukaryota, Viridiplantae, Streptophyta, Magnoliopsida, Fagales, Fagaceae. The record is from RefSeq and is a predicted model, not a curated record.
UCAAGACAUCUUAGUUUUAUUGGAUUUUCUUGUCAAAAAUGUCCAAUAUUUCCAAAAGGGUUUGAGAAAUUGAUUUCUCUCCGAACAUUAAGUGAUUUCAACAUAGGUGGUAAAAAUGAAAAAGAAGGAUGUAAGCUUGGAGAAUUAAAAAAGUUGAAUCACCUACAAGGGACUCUUCGAAUAUAUGGGUUGGGUAACAUGAUAGAUGUAUCUGAUGAUGAAGAUGCACGACUCAAGAUGAAGAAAUACCUCCAUAGUUUGGAACUAUGGUUUGGAAAAUUUGAUAUUUUCAGAGAUAAAAUUAGUAGAAGAAUAAAGGAUGAUGUAUUAGUUUUGAAUGCCUUGGAAGCACCUUCAAACUUGGAAAGUUUACGUAUUUUUGAUUACCAUGGCACUUGAGAGUAUCCUAAUUGGAUGAUGAAUCAUUAAAGACAUCGGCUGCAUAUACUUUGAAAAAGGUGGGAGUUGAGUUUUUGGGAAUAGAACCCAAAAAUAAGAAAGAUAACGCAAUUAUAUUCCCAAAAUUGAAAUCUCUCGAAUUUCAGGAAUUUCCAAAGUGGGAAGAAUGGAUUGACAUUGGAGGAACAAGGGAAGAAGAAGAAGAUAAUGGGUUUGUUACUACAAAAAUAAUGCCACGCCUUUGUUCCUUGAAAAUCUUGAGAUGCCCCGUGCUAAAGUCGCUACCAGACUUUCUUCGUACUACACCAUUAAAGAAAUUGGAGGUUCUUCGAAGUCCAAGUCUUGAGCAACAUUGCAAAAGAGGGACAAGGGAAGACGGGCACAAGAUUUCUCACAUCCUAAGCAUCAAGUUUGAUUCGGACUAACAUUCAGAGACCCAGAAGUGCUUUUCAAUAUGGAAGAGUGCAAAGCAUGGGAAGCACCUGCCUUUAGGGAUCAAGAUAUUGUGAAUACUUUGACUUCUUAUUGGUGUAGGUAAUCAUUACACAAUAUCUAUAUCCAGAAGAACAUUCUUGGAAGAGAACUGAAUUUCUUAUUGGUUUAUUGUGACUUCGUUGCUGUCUCAAGUCAAUCAUGUCUCACUCAAAGAGUUCCCUCUAGUGUUUAGUUUAUUUCCUUCGAGAAGUACUUUAUUUAUCUUCGUCCAUCCUCCUCUGUCUUAGACAAACACAAGAAACAAUUCCCAUUUUACAAGGGAAUUCCAAGGGCCAGCACUUGGACAUAUGAGCAAGGAUUCUGAAUUGCCAAGGAAGCUCUUUAGGGUAGUAGCAGAACCAGUGUUUGAAAUAGUAUGCAUGAAGAAUGGUGUUGGAUGCAACAGUGAAGAAUUUUAUAGCGUUAAUGAUCUGAAAGCUGACCUCCAAAUUUCAUUCUUUAUAGCCUUAUGUUUACAUUGAAGUUGGUUCUCUCUCUCUUUUGCUUCAUAGCUUCAUUCUCACACCUAAGAAUCAAAACAACUAAACCCUCCCUGCCAUCUCCAUGGCCACACUCUUCAGAGAGGAGGUUGAGCUUUUAGGGAUGGUUUUGAUGGAGUAAGGGAGUGGGAUUGCCUUGGUCUGUGAUUUGCCCAUUACAAGCCAGCCUACUAUUGAGCAGCUACUAGAUUGAAUCUAGUCCAAAAAGUCAAAAACCUCGUUGGCUCUCAAUGGUACUAUAAUGAUUCAUAGCAAAUUAUGCUAACUGUGGUGAGGACUUGUGUUUGAUUCCUGAGUCACCUUUUUACCUUGAAGGAGCUGGUGGAGAAUUUGGAAAUUAGCUACUCCAAGAUGUGAGUCUGUGGAUAUCUCAAAGAUGAAGGUAUGGAUACUUGUAUGCAUUCUGUUGCCUUUGUGUUAAAUGUGUUGUUUGUCAAGCCUGGCAAUUGUGAGCAGAUCACCUUUAAAAUUAGUAGAGAACUGAAGAGAAAAACCUUGUAAUGACCAGAAAGUUUCUGUAUAUUGGCUUAAAAAAGAUUACAUUGUGUACAUGUAUUUAUAGGUAAGAAUCUACAACCUAGAAGGAAAGGCCAGACCAAUCCCUAUAAUCAGUUUUUAAUUGAUACAAAUCAAAUCUCUAGAAUCAUGGGGGAGAUGAGCUGAGAAUCUGGUGUUGAAAUAUGGUGCUGAAAUCAAGGCUAAUCAAGGCAGCCAAUCAAGUCUGGGAAUCACUGAACAAGAAAGAACUUGAAGAGGAGUAUUUUGUAGUAACUAAUUCUAGCUUUAAAGGCUUGGCUAUAAUUUCCUUUGUUAUGCUUUCAGUCAUGGUAAGACAUAAAGUAUUUUCAAUUGCUAAAGUUCAUAUAUACUUAAAAGUAAUCAUGAAUUUUUUUUAAGUAAUCACAAGUUUUUUUGUUUCUUGGGAUCACUUUACGAAAUUGAAGAAGAUGGUUAUCUAGUCUUAAAUGUUUAGAUCCCAUGUACAUGAUAUGCGCUAUUCCAAGCAAUGCUUUUGAAAGUGUGUUGCAUUCCCUUUGCUCACAACCAUUCAUGGCACUCUAAGUGGGAGACAUGCUUACAUACCAUUCCAUUUAAGUUCCUUCAUAAUUUGAAUUAACUUUAUAUUUUCCUUUGACUACAAGUGUAUAUUCAAAAUUUCAUUAAUUGGUAGAUGCAGCAAAAAACAAGCUUAAUUUGGUAUGCUGGUUAUCUUUAGUAGCUAAUCUUAUUUGGUGCCUCAUGAAAAGAAAUCUCGUUAAUUGGCCUAACAUUACUACAUAUUAUUUUUAUUUAGAGUUUUUAAUGCUUGAAAAUUAUUAAGAAUAAAGAGAGUGCUUUAAGGGUCCAAUUUUUUUUUUUUUAAUCAUUACUUUUGAAAGUUAUACACUUUGGUACUUGCUAGUUAUCAAGUUUUAAAUCAAUAUCCAAUGUUUUUUUCUUGUUUCAAAGGCUGAAGUGUUCUGUCAAGUAUGGAUGUGACAACCAGGUGGGAAGAAGAAAUCACAAAUAUCUUGGCUUUCUUAAUUGGAUUAAGAGUUGGAUACUAUUCUAUAGUAAGGUAUAUCUGGAUAAUCUUCUUAGUCUUCUGUCUAUUUUCCUUAUCAUUUUCUCCAUCCAUAAUAUUUUGUGCUGAAGCAACAUUUGACAAAGGGCCACAAAAGAAACUCUGUUUAUCUUUUUGUAAUGGUAGAAAGGCAAGUGUGAUGUUUCAUUUCUAGAAUAGUCUAUAUUAUAUCGUGGCAGAUGAAAGGAAUGUUUUGAUCUCAUUCAAGAACAUCAUGCAAAAAUGUCCCAUUCUCAUUCGGCCUUAUCCAAUCUAAACAUCAUCAGCAGAAGGCUGUGUGUGUACAAAAGGUCCUCUAUCACUUCCAAGAUGCAGCAGCAAUAAGUUUAACCUAGAUUGCUGGUUUCUUUGAUCGUCUGUCUAGUUUGAUAACAUAUGAAAGCAAACUAGAUUUUUGUACAAGCCAAAUUCUUUCUCAGCGUGGAAGAGUGCAAAGCAUGGGAAGUGGCUGCCAGUAGGGAUCAAGAUGUUCUGAAUACUUUGGCUUCAUUAGCUAGAUUAGGAGUUCCCUCUGUUUUUUCCCGGCUUAAAGAUAUGGGCAAUUACAAAACCAAAAGUGCUCCAUCCCUCUUCCUCCCCCCUCCUUUGUCUAAGAUAAAGUAUGUUACUAUUAUUGGUUUGUUUUUGGGCUCAAUUCCAUAUAAUGUUUAAUUGCGAAAAUUGUCUUAUCCAGCAUACAGAAAUAUAUACUACAAUAUUUAAUAUCCUGUACUUUACUCAGAAUUUGCUACAACUGGCGGGUGGGGAAUCAAAACACUAGAAUAGUCUAGAAGAGCUUAGACGUGUAGAGUAUUAACUUUGUUUACUAGAAAAGGGAAAUAUAAGAGUCGUUUGCCCAUUGGUCAAC